Molecule: ribosomal RNA, 253 nt
Filed under: uncultured bacterium
Lineage: Bacteria
Description: partial 16S ribosomal RNA
Rfam family: Bacterial small subunit ribosomal RNA
Source: RNAcentral
UACAGAGGAUGCAAGCGUUAUUCGGAAUUAUUGGGCGUAAAGGGCGCGUAGGCGGCCUGGCAAGUGGAAGGUGAAAUCCCUCGGCUUAACCGAGGAACUGCCCUCCAAACUGCUUGGCUUGAGUCCGGGAGAGGUGAGUGGAAUUCCCAGUGUAGCGGUGAAAUGCGUAGAUAUUGGGAGGAACACCAGUGGCGAAGGCGGCUCACUGGACCGGAACUGACGCUGAGGCGCGAAAGCGUGGGGAGCAAACGGG